RNAcentral lists this ribosomal RNA (253 nucleotides) under uncultured bacterium. Its description in RNAcentral is "partial 16S ribosomal RNA". It matches the Rfam family "Bacterial small subunit ribosomal RNA", at positions 524 to 776 of the family's 1533-position model. The record is from RNAcentral.
UACGUAGGGCGCAAGCGUUGUCCGGAAUUAUUGGGCGUAAAGAGCUCGUAGGCGGUUUGUCGCGUCUGCUGUGAAAACCUAAGGCUCAACCUUGGGCUUGCAGUGGGUACGGGCAGACUAGAAUGCGGUAGGGGUGACUGGAAUUCCUGGUGUAGCGGUGGAAUGCGCAGAUAUCAGGAGGAACACCGAUGGCGAAGGCAGGUCACUGGGCCGCAACUGACGCUGAGGAGCGAAAGCAUGGGGAGCGAACAGG